RNAcentral lists this RNase P RNA (235 nucleotides) under Acidimicrobiia bacterium. RNAcentral describes it as "partial RNase P RNA component class A". It matches the Rfam family "Bacterial RNase P class A", at positions 1 to 232 of the family's 367-position model. Rfam says of the family: Ribonuclease P (RNase P) is a ubiquitous endoribonuclease, found in archaea, bacteria and eukarya as well as chloroplasts and mitochondria. Its best characterised activity is the generation of mature 5'-ends of tRNAs by cleaving the 5'-leader elements of precursor-tRNAs. Lineage: Bacteria; Bacillati; Actinomycetota; Acidimicrobiia. The record is from RNAcentral.
CGAGCCCGUUGGACGGCCGCGCUCUCCCUGUUCCAGGGAAGGUGAGGAAAGUCCGGACUCCAUAGGGCAUGAUGCUGGGUAACUCCCAGGCGGGGCAACCCGACGGAAAGUGCAGCAGAGAGCAGACCGCCGAUGGUCGCAGGACACAGGCAAGGGUGAAACGGUGGGGUAAGAGCCCACCAGCGUCCCCGGUGACGGGGACGGCUCGGCAAACCCCAUCAGGAGCAAGGCCAAG